GACGAACGCUGGCGGCGUGCCUAAUACAUGCAAGUUGAGCGCUGAAGGUUGGUACUUGUACCAACUGGAUGAGCAGCGAACGGGUGAGUAACGCGUGGGGAAUCUGCCUUUGAGCGGGGGACAACAUUUGGAAACGAAUGCUAAUACCGUAUAAAAACUUUAAACACAAGUUUUAAGUUUGAAAGAUGCAAUUGCAUCACUCAAAGAUGAUCCCGCGUUGUAUUAGCUAGUUGGUGAGGUAAAGGCUCACCAAGGCGAUGAUACAUAGCCGACCUGAGAGGGGGAUCGGCCACAUUGGGAAUGAGACACGGCCCAAACGCCCACGGGGGGCAGCAGUAGGGAAUCUUCGGCAAUUGACGAAAGUCUGACCGAGCAACGCCGCGUGAGGGAAGAAGGGUUUCGGAUCGUAAAACUCUGUUGGUAGAGAAGAACGUUGGUGAGAGUGGAAAGCUCAUCAAGUGACGGUAACUACCCAGAAAGGGACGGCUAACUACGUG
RNAcentral lists this ribosomal RNA (497 nucleotides) under uncultured bacterium. RNAcentral describes it as "partial 16S ribosomal RNA". It matches the Rfam family "Bacterial small subunit ribosomal RNA", at positions 28 to 507 of the family's 1533-position model. The record is from RNAcentral.